AAUCAACGCUGGCGGCGUGCCUCAGACAUGCAAGUCGAACGCGAAAGUCUCCUUCGGGGGACAAGUAGAGUGGCGCACGGGUGAGUAACACGUAGGUAAUCUACCUUCGGAUGGGGAAUAACAACCGGAAACGGUUGCUAAUACCGCAUAAUGCAGCGGCACCUAAUGGUGACAGUUGUUAAAGCGGGGGAUCGAAAGACCUCGCGUCUGAAGAGGAGCCCUGCGGCGGAUUAGCUAGNGGUAAGGUAAUGGCUUACCAAGGCUACGAUCCGUAACCGGCCUGAGAGGGCGGGUCGGUCACACUGACACUGACAUACGGGUCAGAC
RNAcentral lists this ribosomal RNA (326 nucleotides) under uncultured bacterium. RNAcentral describes it as "bacterial SSU rRNA". It matches the Rfam family "Bacterial small subunit ribosomal RNA", at positions 32 to 336 of the family's 1533-position model. The record is from RNAcentral.